Molecule: ribosomal RNA, 511 nt
Filed under: Erythrolamprus sagittifer
Lineage: Eukaryota; Metazoa; Chordata; Lepidosauria; Squamata; Dipsadidae
Description: partial large subunit ribosomal RNA
Rfam family: Bacterial large subunit ribosomal RNA
Source: RNAcentral
UAUAAAAUAAUAUUAAAGGCAACGCCUGCCCAGUGAACAAUUAAACGGCCGCGGUACCCUAACCGUGCAAAGGUAGCGCAAUCAUUUGUCUACUAAUUAUAGACUAGUAUGAAAGGCAAAAUGAGGGCUUAACUGUCUCUUAUAGUACAUCAAUUAAACUGAUCCACCAGUAAAAAAGCUGGGAAUAUUUUCAUAAGACCAGAAGACCCUGUGAAGCUUUAACUAAACUAUUAAAUCUAAUAAUAGCUACUUUCGGUUGGGGGCGACCUUGGAAAAAAAAGAACUUCCAAACACAAUAAUUAUAACUUUUACCACCUAGGCCUACAAGCCACAAUAUGACCCAGCAUAGCUGACAAUUGAAACAAGUUACUCCAGGGAUAACAGCGCCAUCUUCUUCAAGAGUCCAUAUCAAAAAGAAGGUUUACGACCUCGAUGUUGGAUCAGGACAUCCUAAUGGUGUAGCCGCUAUUAAGGGUUCGUUUGUUCAACGAUUAAUAGUCCUACGUGAUCU